UAGGGAAUCUUCCCCAAUGGACGAAAGCCUGAUGGAGCAACGCCGCGUGUGUGAUGAAGGGUUUCGGCUCGUAAACACUGUUGUAAGAGAAGAAUGACAUUGAGAGUAACUGUUCAAUGUGUGACGGUAUCUUACCAGAAAGGAACGGCUAAAUACGUGCCAG
RNAcentral lists this ribosomal RNA (163 nucleotides) under uncultured bacterium. Its description in RNAcentral is "partial 16S ribosomal RNA". It matches the Rfam family "Bacterial small subunit ribosomal RNA", at positions 355 to 511 of the family's 1533-position model. The record is from RNAcentral.